Molecule: long non-coding RNA, 417 nt
Filed under: Malus domestica (apple)
Lineage: Eukaryota; Viridiplantae; Streptophyta; Magnoliopsida; Rosales; Rosaceae
Description: long non-coding RNA (MDOM_LNC020815)
Source: RNAcentral
CUUUUACUUUCUUGUUUUAAAAUCUUUUGUUUACAUUUUUAACUUUGUUUCUUUUUGUUUUUGAGUCAGUAUAGAGGUUUUAGCAAGCCCUCCUAAUCCCCGGUUUAGAACGAUCCCUACUUACAUACUUUGCUACAAUUGUCAAAAAGAGGGUUUAAUUUGUGUGUCAAGUAAUUCUCGCAUCAAAUGGGCUGUGACAAUAACUAAUUGGAUCGUUAUCGGGUCACACGAUAAAAACCCGUUAAUAACAGGUCCUUAACAAGUUUACACGAAAGUGACAAGUAGGUAACCUGUUUUGACACGUUAAGAAAAAAGUUAUUUUGAUGAUUUUAAUUUUUUAAACUAAAAAAAAUUUACUAUAAAUACAAUAGUCAUAGUGUAUAUGUAUAUAUUAUAUAUUAAAUAUGUUUUUACCAA